This 1005-nucleotide transfer RNA is filed under the name Marinovum algicola. The stretch from base 207 to 280 matches the Rfam family "tRNA". The record is from RNAcentral. Lineage: Bacteria; Pseudomonadati; Pseudomonadota; Alphaproteobacteria; Rhodobacterales; Roseobacteraceae.
CUAAGGAUGUUUCUGGUAUCAAGAGCUUGCUCCUGAUCGUGAAACACUUAGCAGCUUCCAGUCCUCAAGUAGCCGCAAGGCGGUAGGACAUAAGCGGAAGCAAUAUCAGCUCCUCAAGAGCUUGAACCCGACCGUCCUCAUAUCUCUUCAGACAGAACAAGCGGGCCGCCGGCCCGUCGAUAUUUGCCAGCAGGCAAUAUCAACUUGGGUCGGUAGCUCAGGUGGUUAGAGCGCACGCCUGAUAAGCGUGAGGUCGGAGGUUCAAGUCCUCCUCGACCCACCAACGUCAUCUUCGCCGGAGGCGAAAAUGACGGUCGCGGCAGUGCUUGGCAUGGCCAAGCACCUGCGACACGGCUGAACCACAAGCGGAUCGCAGGGUCUUUCCCCUCUCGGUGAUUUCCUUCGGAAUCACCUGUCGGGUUUACGGCCCCUUUGAUGAUCCGCAGGCGGAUCAUCAAAGGGGCCUUAGCUCAGCUGGGAGAGCGCCUGAUUUGCAUUCAGGAGGUCAGGAGUUCGAUCCUCCUAGGCUCCACCAACGUCACAUCGCGACGCGAGGUGACGGCGAGCGAAAGCACGUGGCGCAGCCAGGUGCGUGCGAGAUGACAUUGUUCUGACCCGGUCGAUUAGAUCGUUAAGCACUGUCUGAGUGUUUAACCGUCCAAUCGGACGUUGGCUUUCUUCGGAAAGCCUUUGACAUCGUUUAGAGAGAUACAAAUAUCAACACUGUUUGGUCACCCGAGUAUGGGAUUGACCUCGGUUUGGUUCUGCUUCGGCAGAAGGCACAUUCUGGAAUGCUUCCUCACUCCAGCCUGUGUAUCCCGGAUCGAAAAGAACAGCGUUGUCCAAGUCAAGUACACUAACUGAUGCUGAUCAAUGAUCAGCAUGGGAUAGUUUGCUUUUGAUCGGAAAGAGCAUUUGCACAUAUUGCGAUACGGCUGGCUGCCUGGUGUUUAACCGCGCUCAAGUAGCCGAAUAGGCGGUAGCGCAAGCGAAUCUGUCUCUUUC